CUSGCGGCGUGCCUAAUACAUGCAAGUCGAGCGGACCGACGGGAGCUUGCUCCCUUAGGUCAGCGGCGGACGGGUGAGUAACACGUGGGUAACCUGCCUGUAAGACUGGGAUAACUCCGGGAAACCGGGGCUAAUACCGGAUGCUUGAUUGAACCGCAUGGUUCAAUCAUAAAAGGUGGCUUUUAGCUACCACUURCAGAUGGACCCGCGGCGCAUUAGCUAGUUGGUGAGGUAACGGCUCACCAAGGCGACGAUGCGUAGCCGACCUGAGAGGGUGAUCGGCCACACUGGGACUGAGACACGGCCCAGACUCCUACGGGAGGCAGCAGUAGGGAAUCUUCCGCAAUGGACGAAAGUCUGACGGAGCAACGCCGCGUGAGUGAUGAAGGUUUUCGGAUCGUAAAACUCUGUUGUUAGGGAAGAACAAGUACCGUUCGAAUAGGGCGGYACCUUGACGGUACCUAACCAGAAAGCC
This 475-nucleotide ribosomal RNA is filed under the name Bacillus sp. SC5. Its description in RNAcentral is "bacterial SSU rRNA". It matches the Rfam family "Bacterial small subunit ribosomal RNA", at positions 36 to 492 of the family's 1533-position model. The record is from RNAcentral. Lineage: Bacteria; Bacillati; Bacillota; Bacilli; Caryophanales; Bacillaceae.